AGCCCUGGCUUGUGAUUGUCCAAACGCAAUUCUUGUCUCUCCACCGAGAGUUGAGUCUGGACAUCAAGAGCCGGGGUUG
MicroRNA precursor from Notechis scutatus (mainland tiger snake), 79 nucleotides. NCBI's taxonomy places the organism in Eukaryota, Metazoa, Chordata, Lepidosauria, Squamata, Elapidae. The record is from Ensembl.